This 253-nucleotide ribosomal RNA is filed under the name uncultured bacterium. RNAcentral's name for it is "partial 16S ribosomal RNA". It matches the Rfam family "Bacterial small subunit ribosomal RNA", at positions 524 to 776 of the family's 1533-position model. The record is from RNAcentral.
UACGUAGGGGGCUAGCGUUGUCCGGAAUCAUUGGGCGUAAAGAGCGUGUAGGCGGCCCGGUAAGUCCGCUGUGAAAGUCGGGGGCUCAACCCUCGAAUGCCGGUGGAUACUGUCGGGCUAGAGUGCGGAAGAGGCGAGUGGAAUUCCUGGUGUAGCGGUGAAAUGCGCAGAUAUCAGGAGGAAUACCGAUUGCGAAGGCAGCUCGCUGGGACGUAACUGACGCUGAGGAGCGAAAGCGUGGGGAGCGAACAGG